This 216-nucleotide ribosomal RNA is filed under the name Glomeromycotina sp. RNAcentral's name for it is "partial small subunit ribosomal RNA". The stretch from base 40 to 216 matches the Rfam family "Eukaryotic small subunit ribosomal RNA", at positions 686 to 864 of the family's 1831-position model. Lineage: Eukaryota; Fungi; Glomeromycota. The record is from RNAcentral.
GGGUCAGUAGGUUGGUCGUGCCACCGGUACGUACUGGUCUCACUGAUUCCUCCUUCCUGAAGAACCGUAAUGCCAUUAAUUUGGUGUUGCGGGGAAACAGGACUGUUACUCUGAAAAAAUUAGAGUGUUUGAAGCAAGCUAACGCUUGAAUACAUUAGCAUGGAAUAAUGAAAUAGGACGAUCGAUCCUAUUUUGUUGGUUUCUAGGAUUGACGUA